UACGGAGGAGGCAAGCGUUAUCCGGAAUUAUUGGGCGUAAAGCGUCCGUAGGUGGUUCACCAAGUCUGCUGUCAAAGGGUGGGGCUUAACCUCAUAAAGGCAGUGGAAACUGGUGAGCUAGAGUGCGGUAGGGGUAAGGGGAGUUCCCAGUGUAGCGGUGAAAUGCGUAGAGAUUGGGAAGAACAUCGGUGGCGAAAGCGCCUUACUGGGCCUGCACUGACACUGAGGGACGAAAGCUAGGGGAGCGAAAGGG
RNAcentral lists this ribosomal RNA (253 nucleotides) under uncultured bacterium. RNAcentral's name for it is "partial 16S ribosomal RNA". It matches the Rfam family "Bacterial small subunit ribosomal RNA", at positions 524 to 776 of the family's 1533-position model. The record is from RNAcentral.